UAAACAGAGAUGGGCACCUCUCUGCUUUGGCCCCUGGACUGAGGUCCUGGGUCCAUGGGGACCUGGAGACUCACCAGCCAGUUCUGGCUGCCCCAGUGUGAGAGGGACUGUGUGUCCAUGAGGGGAUGAGGACUGUGUACAGAGAGGGGAGUCGAGGAGCCUGAGGAUGUUUAGCCUGGGUUGAGGGGCUGAGGAAGCUCUUACCCUCACCGUGACCCUUCAUGUGUUCAUGGCGGAGACCUAGCUCUUUGUGUUCCUGAACAUCAAACUCUGACAUGUGAGUGAGAGCCAAAAGAUGCUAGAUCUGGGCUCAGCAUAAGGGAGACUUGUUUCCUUGUCUACAAGAUGGUGACAAACCGCCUACGUCAAGGGUGGAGGAGGGUGGAUGAGAAAUGCUUUUAAAGCGCUCUUUCCUGCUCCCAGCUCAGAGGAUGUGCUCCCUAGUGGUCAGGAUGCCCCUGGAAGAACUCUUCCACCUGAGGUCCCCAUGCUGCCUGCCCCAGUCCCUGGAGCUCUCAGCAGAGGAGGGACAGUAGCCUCACAAUGGACACAAAAGGGUUUCGGAUCAAGUGGCUUAAGCGUUACCCUCCCACUCCAAGACGACACAAUUCCUGGACUUUAAAGAUAAAGUGGAAGAAAGGCACCACCUGUUUUGAUGCCUGGUGGAGCCACUGAAAGUUCUAGGACCGACUCCAAGAAGGUUGAAGAUGAGCACAACAGUUGAGAAUCCUAAGGGAUCGAUGGAAAACUGGAAAAGGUGGCAUAGAUUCAACUGUACCUGUAGCCUGUACUUUGGACAUCCCUGUUAUGUGAGUAAAUAAAUUCCCCUUUUUGCUUAAGUUAAUUUGAAUUGGAUUUCUGUUCUUAUGACCAGAAGUCCAAACUAAUACAAUCAAUCGUUGGGUAUUCUUAUCUACCUUUUUCACAUCUCCAAAUAUAUUGACUUUCCUUCAUCCCCACUGUAAUAUCUGUCUUAGUAACAGCCUCCCAACCCUGUAAGAAUCAGGCCUUUUGAUUGCUCUGGGGAUAUCCUCCUGCAAGUAAUGAAUCCCAAGUGAUGACUUGCCCAGUCCAAUGGAUUUUGAUGGGGAAGGCUUGGGGCAGCCUGACUUCAGUACACAAUGGCUCUUUCUAGCACAUUUC
Molecule: long non-coding RNA, 1143 nt
Organism: Aethalodelphis obliquidens (Pacific white-sided dolphin)
Lineage: Eukaryota; Metazoa; Chordata; Mammalia; Artiodactyla; Delphinidae
Exons: 4
Source: RefSeq, a predicted model, not a curated record